GCGCAGCAGGCGCGAAACCUCCGCAAUGCGGGAAACCGCGACGGGGGGACCCCGAGUGCCGUGGCAACGCCACGGCUUUUCCGGAGUGUAAAAAGCUCCGGGAAUAAGGGCUGGGCAAGGCCGGUGGCAGCCGCCGCGGUAAUACCGGCGGCCCGAGUGGUGGCCGCUAUUAUUGGGCCUAAAGCGUCCGUAGCCGGGCCCGUAAGUCCCUGGCGAAAUCCCACGGCUCAACCGUGGGGCUUGCUGGGGAUACUGCGGGUCUUGGGACCGGGAGAGGCGGGGGGUACCCCUGGGGUAGGGGUGAAAUCCUAUAAUCCCAGGGGGACCGCCAGUGGCGAAGGCGCCCCGCUGGAACGGGUCCGACGGUGAGGGACGAAGGCCA
This 382-nucleotide ribosomal RNA is filed under the name uncultured microorganism. RNAcentral describes it as "bacterial SSU rRNA". It matches the Rfam family "Archaeal small subunit ribosomal RNA", at positions 330 to 713 of the family's 1478-position model. The record is from RNAcentral.